UGGGGAAUAUUGGACAAUGGGCGAAAGCCUGAUCCAGCCAUGCCGCGUGAGUGACGAAGGCCUUAGGGUUGUAAAACUCUUUCGUCGGGGACGAUAAUGACGGUACCCGAAGAAGAAGCUCCGGCUAACUUCGUGCCAGCAGCCGCGGUAAUACGAAGGGAGCUAGCGUUGUUCGGAAUCACUGGGCGUAAAGCGCACGUAGGCGGAUAGUUAAGUCGAGGGGUAGAAAUCCUGGGGCUCAACCCCAGAACUGCCUUUGAUACUGGCUGUCUCGAGGUCGAGAGAGGUUGGUGGAAUUCCUAGUGUAGAGGUGAAAUUCGUAGAUAUUAGGAAGAACACCAGUGGCGAAGGCGGCCAACUGGCUCGAUACUGACGCUGAGGUGCGAAAGCGUGGGAGCAAACAGGAUUAGAUACCCACGUAGUCCCUGAG
Molecule: ribosomal RNA, 430 nt
Filed under: uncultured bacterium
Lineage: Bacteria
Description: bacterial SSU rRNA
Rfam family: Bacterial small subunit ribosomal RNA
Source: RNAcentral